This 265-nucleotide ribosomal RNA is filed under the name uncultured bacterium. RNAcentral describes it as "partial 16S ribosomal RNA". It matches the Rfam family "Bacterial small subunit ribosomal RNA", at positions 88 to 354 of the family's 1533-position model. The record is from RNAcentral.
CCGGCGACCGGCGGACGGGUGCGUAACGCGUAUGUAACCUACCUUUGACAGGGGGAUAACAUCGAGAAAUUGGUACUAAUACCCCAUAACAUCACCGGAGGCAUCUUCGGUGGUUGAAAACUCAGGUGGUCAGAGAUGGACAUGCAUUGUAUUAGCUAGUUGGUGAGGUAACGGCUCACCAAGGCGACGAUACAUAGGGGGACUGAGAGGUCAACCCCCCACAUUGGUACUGAGACACGGACCAAACUCCUACGGGAGGCAGCAG